UUGCAAUCACACGAAAUGGCCCAAUAUACCGGGGCCCCAACUUGCCCCUCUUCCUGAAUCGAAUCACUCCUUUCCAAGGAGAGACCUUCAGGAGAACGAAGUCGCCGACUUGAAACUCAAGCUCGGAUCGGCGCCUGUCUGCAUAACUCUUCUGUCGGCUCUGGGCGGUCAAUAACCUCUGUCUAACUUGCUGAAUCUGCUCUGUCGUCUGAAGCACGAUCUCUGUGCUGCCCAUCACUCUCUGUCCCACCUCUCCCCAGCAAAUGGGGGUCCGACACCUCCUACCAUACAACAGCUCAAAAGGUGGCAUACCAAUGCUCGAAUGAUGGCUGUUGUUGUAGGAAAACUCUGCCAAGGGUAAAUACGCAUCCCAGCUACCCCCGAAGUCUAACACACACGCUCGAAGCAUGUCCUCCAGCGUCUGAAUCGUCCGCUCGCUCUGACCGUCUGUCUGGGGAUGGUAUGCGGUACUAAAAUGCAAUUUAGUACCCAGCUCCUCAUGGAAUUUCUUCCAGAACCUGGAAGUGAAGCGCACAUCACGGUCUGAAACAAUCGAGAUCGGCACCCCAUGCCGAGAUACCACCUCUCUCACAUAUAUCUCCGCCAACUUCUCCGCUGAAGAACUCUCGCUGAUGGCAAGGAAGUGUGCACUCUUCGUCAACCUAUCCACAAUCACCCAAAUUGCAUCAACUCCCCUGGCAGUCCUCGGCAAUUUGGUGAUGAAAUCCAUAGUGAUCUGUUCCCACUUCCACUCGGGGAUCUCCAAUGGCUGUAACUUGCCAUGCGGUCUCUGGUGCUCGGCCUUAACCCUACGGCAGGUCAAGCACCUCUCAACGAACCAUGCCACGUCCCUCUUCAUACAGGGCCACCAAUACUCCUUCCUCAAAUCCAAAUACAUCUUCGUAGCACCGGGAUGGAUCGAGAAUUUCGAUCUAUGAGCCUCUUCCAUCAAAGUAAUACGCGUACCGCCCACGAACGGUACCCAAAUCCGACCCUGAAACGUCAGAAGCCCUCGUCCAUCCUUAACGAACUCUGAAAUUAACCCAACGACCCGCUCUUUCUUCUGCAUCUCUGGUCGCACAGCCUCGGCCUGUGCCCCACGAAUAGCAUCCAAUACUGGAGUCAUCACAGUCAGUCUCAAGCAUACAUCUCGCAAUGGAGUGCUCUCCGCCCUGCGGCUCAACGCGUCGGCUACCACAUUAGCCUUGCCUGGGUGGUACAGGAUCUCACAAUCAUAAUCCUUGACCACAUCCAACCACCUCCUCUGACGCAUAUUUAGGUUGGGCUGAUCCAUCAAAUACUUCAAACUCUUAUGGUCCGUGUAUAUCGUACAUCGAACCCCAUACAAGUAGUGACGCCAAAUCUUGAGAGCGAACACUACUGCCCCCAACUCUAAAUCAUGCGUGGGAUAUCUCGCCUCAUGAGGCUUCAGCUGCCUCGACGCAUAAGCUAUCACAUGACCCCUCUGCAUCAACACUGCACCCAGUCCCGAAAUCGAUGCGUCGCAAUAUACUACAAAAUCUUCCAUCCCUUCCGGGAGAGCUAAUACCGGGGCUUCGCACAACCUCUGGCGAAGUGUCUCAAAGGAGGUCUGCUGCUCGGGCCCCCAUGAGAAUGCAACACCCUUCCGGGUCAAUCUGGUGAGCGGCACUGCGAUCUUGGAGAAAUCCUUAAUGAAUCUCCGAUAAUACCCUGCCAACCCAAGGAAGCUCCUGAUCUCAGAGGGUGACUUCGGCACCUCCCAACUCAUCACCGCCUCAACCUUGGCCGGAUCGACCAAUAUCCCUUUCUGAUUGACAACAUGUCCUAGAAAUUGGACCUCUCGCAACCAGAAGUCACAUUUGGAGAACUUUGCAUAAAGCUUCUCCGACCUCAAUACCUCAAGGACCUCCCUCAAAUGCUCCUCAUGCUGCUCUCUAGAUCUCGAAUACACCAGAAUGUCGUCGAUAAAUACAAUCACUGACCGAUCCAACAUCGGCCUGCAUACCCUGUUCAUGAGAUCCAUGAACACAGCCGGGGCAUUGGUGAGCCCGAAAGGCAUCACCACAAACUCAUAAUGCCCAUAUCGCGUCCUAAACGCUGUCUUCUGGACAUCCUCAUCCCGCACUCUCACCUGAUGGUACCCUGACCUCAGAUCGAUCUUGGAAAACCAAGAUGCUCCCUGCAACUGAUCGAAUAAAUCAUCGAUCCUCGGUAACGGGUAACGGUUCUUGACCGUCAACUUGUUCAACUCCCGGUAAUCAAUGCACAUCCGGUGUGAACCAUCCUUCUUCUUGACGAACAGAAUAGGUGCUCCCCACGGCGAGCUGCUCGGCCGAAUGAAUCCCUUCCCCAGCAACUCCUGGAGCUGCGAGGACAACUCUUGCAUCUCUGGAGGUGCAAGACGAUAAGGCACCUUAGCAAUAGGCGCGGCCCCCGGAACCAGAUCGAUACCAAACUCUACUUGCCUCACAGGAGGUACUCCCGGCAGCUCCUCGGGGAAAACAUCUGGAAACUCACGCACCACAGGGACCUCCUCAACUGAUUUCGGUCUCUCGGAAACCUCCCGCGUAUCCAUCACAUACGCCACAAAACCCUUACAGCCCUGCUGUAGACACUGCCUCGCCCUAGCGGCCGAACAAAAAGCUGAUCCCGAACGGGUACCCUCGCCGUACACCGAAAGAACUCCCCCACUAUGGUCUCGUAUAGUCACCAGCUGACGCUCACAGUCGAUGACAGCGCCGAAUCGGCUCAACCAGUCCAUGCCCACGAUGACACAGACAUCACCCAUCGCAAUAGGAAUCAGGUCAAUCGGGAAUUCAACCCCGAAAAUCUCUAGUACACAUCCCCGAAGAACCUCCGUGGCACAAAUCACUUUCUCGUCAGCUAUAGAAACUCUCAAAGGUCGACUCAACGACUCACGACUAACGCUGAUAUGCUGACUAAAGGCUAAGGACACAAAGGACCUACUCGCACCCGAGUCAAAUAACACUAAGGCAGGCACAGAGUUCACAAGGAAAGUACCUACGCAUAUAAUAACAUAAGCAUAACAUCUCGACAUUAAAAUAAAUACAUGAAUUACAACAUACCUGCCACAACAUCGGGCGCAGCGCGGACCUCCUCCGCAGUCAGCUGAAAGGCUCUCCCCCGAGCCCUCGGGGCCUCGGCCUUCACCGGUCGAGUCGCAGUAGCUCUGGCAGCAGGUGCAGAUCCCUGAAGAAGCUGAGGGCACUCGGCCUUCCGAUGGCCUGUCUGGUUGCAAUGAAAGCAAACCGUAAAUCCCUUGGGACACUCCCUAGCAAUGUGCCCCUCCUUGCCACACUUGUAGCAAGCACCAGAUCGACACGCCCCAUCAUGACCCUUGCCGCACUUUCCGCAAGUGCGGCCCUUCGAACCUCCCGUCCUCGAAUCGGCGGACUUGGUCCGCUUGGCUGCCGGCUGAGACUGAGCCGGCCGCCGGUCCACCUGCUGAGACUCGGCCUCCUCCCUGGCCUGGGUCUCCAACUCGAUCUCACGCUUCCUGGCAUUCGCCUGAAGCUCAGUAAAAGUAUGAUAGGUGGAGUUUGACACAAACUCCCGGAUAUCCCUCCUCAAAACACCCAAGUACCGGCUCAUCCGAGCCUGCUCUGUGGACACCAGCUCGGGGCAGAACAUCGCCCUCUCAUGAAACUUCCGCGUGAUCACCGCAACCGAAUCAGUACCCUGCUUGAGGGUUAAGAACUCCUGAACCAAUCGUUCCCUCUCCACCGGGGGAACGUACUCAUCCCUGAACAUGGCAGUAAACCCCUCCCAUGUCACUGCUGUAGUCUCUGCCAAAGUGAAGUUCGCCGUCACGAACUUCCACCAGUCCUUCGCUCCCAGACGGAGCUGGUUCAAAGCGAACCGUACCCUCAGGUGCUCCGGGCAUGAACAAGUGUAGAAGCACCCCUCUAUAUCCGCGAUCCACCUCAUCGCAGCAAUCGGAUCCUGCGUCCCAUCGAACUCUGGUGGCUUCGUGUUGCUGAACUCUCGGAACAGCAACGAGUCACCCCCCUGUGGCCUAGCAGCGGCCACAGCUGCGGUAGCUGCAGCGGUUGCAGCCUCAGUCAAUGCGGCGUACCGCUCAUCAAACGUCUCCAUCAGGGUGGUCUUAAUAGACCCAAACAUCUCCGGGAUCUCAGCCCGGAUCGCCGCAGCUACCUCCUCGUGAAUCAUCUGACGAAUCUCCUCGUCACUCACACCGCUCGAACUCGCUCCGUGGCGUGGUCUAACCAUGAUGUCUCUGAAAUACAACAUAAAACUAUCAGAGACUCCAUCGAGUGUAAUCGCACUCGAUAACGCAACCCUACUCAGUCUCCGAUAUCCAGGGAUUCUUACUUGGGUCUCCCACUGACCCGGUGUCUUCGGUAGUACGGGCCCAAUACUACCGACCACACCGCAUCAGCAUUCAUCCCAAAUCUUCCUCCCCAAACCCCGGAUAGUGAGUACUCUACUUCUGUUAUGCACUAUCUACCCGCACACUAGCAAAGCAUCUCAUAUCGGCAAACUUCCCUAGACUAAGGCAUCACAAAUCAGGCCACUCUAGUCCUAUCAUGAAUACCUAGUCUUCUAGCAUGCAUAACAAUUCAUAUCAUAUAAUAUUGUAAGGUAUUUUGGGGAUCUUUACCGUUCGGGCGCUGACUGAUCGUACACACUGCUUCUUUCUUGCUUACCACAAAACCAUUUACAAAAGUUUAUGCCUUUAUUUAAAAAGUUUUCCUCAAAUCCUCGGUUUGAGUUCAGUUACUCCCGAAGGUGCACCCGAAUCCCUCAAACCAAGGCUCUGAUACCAAUUGUAACAACGCAAAUUUUCAAACAAAUUUUUCAUUUUAAAAAUAAAGUAUUUCCAUUCAAAACAAGGCAUAAAUAAUUUAAGUGUCAUGUCAAAUACAAAUUGUCUAAAUCCCAAGAUCAUAAAAACAUCCUUCAGUGUGUACCGAUCACGCCGGCGCCUUCCCACGGUCCUCGCUAGUACCUGAAACACAUACAUAACAACUGUAAGCAUAAAUGCUUAGUGAGUUCCCCAAUAUACAACUUACGCACAUACGCCUUUCCAGGCCCUGACCUUCCGGUCCUCAACACAACGCCUUCCGGCCCAUAACAUAAUCGCCUUCCGGCCCAUAACAUAUUGCCUUCCGGCCCACAUAACAUACAUAGCACAUAUAACAAAUAACUUACCACAUAUAGCAUACAUAUCACAUAUCAUAUCUGACCUUCCGGUCACACAGUCAAACCCUUCCGGGUACAGUAUAGUGAGAAGACUCACCUCGUGAAUGCUGAAAGCUAGCAAAUCCUGAAAUCACUCGUGCACAAUCCGUCGAGCUACAACCUCCCUAUAACAUCACAUAUCUCUCAUUAACACUUAUAUCUUCUAAGUGUGACUAUCCCUAAGAAGUCAGACUUAGGUCAACUCUGGUCAACGGUCAACGGUCAACUCGACCGGACUCGGCGAGUGCCAUGGCGACUCGGCGAGUCUAGACGUCCUCCAACUCUCUGAGAUUCCCUAUCUACUCGUCGAGUAUCCUCCUUGACCCGACGAGUUACUCCUGGAAGAAUCGCGGGGCCACCCCGACUCAACUCGCCGAGUCUGAAGAACAACUCGACGAGUCCCAGUUAAUCUUCAAGCUACUCGCCGAGUCUGUUCGUCGAACUCGGCGAGUCCAUGCCAUGCAACUGCUCAAACUGCAUCAUAAGGUCAGAGCUGCUCCGACCAUUCCUAGGUUUGGCCUUCCUAGGCUGAUCCAUCACGUAAAGUCCUCAUUUCAGUGCUCAUGAUACACCUUAUGAUUCAUACUUUACAUUUUGACCUAAGGCAUAAGGAUUCCAAUCCAAAACCUUCAUCAAUUCCCGAAAUGCACAGACAUGGGACAUUCUGGACCUCCAAAGGUCCCAAUACAGGGUUACAUUCGUUUAGGGGACUAGGGUAACAUUCAAUCUAUUCACAAAAAGGGUUCCAUAAACCCUAAUUCCAUAAUCACAUCAAAAUAGCAGAGUAUACUCGAAUUCUUACCUGGAUGAUGUAUUCUCUGUGUCCCCAAUCCUCAGAAUGUGACUCCCUUGCUGUUCCUUUAGCCAAUCCCUUCUCUUCCUUGCACAACAACUCUUCUAUAAUCAACAAUGGCCUAUAAUCCUUGCUCCAGAUGCACCCAAUCGAUUUAGGGUUCUUCUCAGAAGGCUAAAAUGAAUAAUGACGGCCAAUAAGUCUCUUUUAUACGUCCCAAACCUGAACGGUUAGGGUUUUCGCUAAACAGCGUAGACUCGCCGAGUCCAUAUCUGGACUCGUCGAGUCCAGUCGCGAACCCGCGACCAAGUCUGCGAUCCUACUCGGCGAGUCUAGGCUCCAACUCGCCGAGUCCCCUCUUAAAUCACCCCAAAAACAUAAUUUAACAAUACCUGAGAUUCCGGGCUGUUACAUGACUAAGAUAAUUAUAGUAAGACCAAAUACUCCUAUGGUAUUUCUUAAUGGUUGUGUUGGUAAGUUUUUAGACAUGUUGCCACAUCACAACCAUUAUUGGGCAUAGGCUAAUCACUCCUUGGACCAGCAUAGCUGAUCAGGCUAUGCCAUUCCCAAGACUGACCAUAUAUCCCCAGGCUUACUUGUGAUAUUCAACAAUAGUAAUACUUUUGUUCUUGUCAUUGUGACACUGAUUUUAGUAUGAAUUCAGGCACGUAUACUUACUUAAAUAUUUUAUUAUUUAAAAGUAUAAACUCUUAGACAGAGUGUUUUUAAUCCCAAUGAAUUUAUAGUUAGUAUAUCUUUUAUUGGUUGAUAUACUAUAUUCACUAUAAACAAUGCUCUGAUACCAAUCUGUCACACCCCAAAACCGAGAACGGCGGAAACGUUCCGGGGUGGAGGAUGUCAUGUGAAGUAUCAUAACAAUGUAAAGUAGUAAACAAGCAACAACAUCAUCCAUUGCAUUAAAAGUAAAGUUUUAAUACAUGUGUGUUCUUUCAUUGUAAUAAGACACCAAAAUAUAUAAUCAAAAUAAAAGACGAGUAUUGUCUGUGCUCCGUCUUCUCAAAACCUGGCCAUCGUACCUGUCUACUGGUGACCUGAAAAUACAAGUUAUUUUGAAAGCGAGUAUCAACCUAAAGCUGGUGAAUUCAUAAGUAUUUAAGUGUCAUUGUCUUGUUUUGGAAAGCUGUUAUGAAUGUUAUGUAAAUCUUUGAAUGAAACAGUUGAUAUAAGUAUGAAAACCCUAGAAAAUCCCAUAUUUCCUACUAGUAUGAAAUGUAGUCUUCUACCAAGACCUGAAUGUUUUGCUAUGACAAUGAUAGUUUUUCCUUCUUUUUGACUAUUACAAACAGUAUUUAGUCUAACUCAUCGUUUAUGUGAAUGUAUCACAAAAUAAAAUAAUAGGAAAAAUGUAAUCGUGUAACUGUUAUCCUUUUGUAUUAGGAUUAACACGACAUCGCGAUUAGCGAAAUGUAUAACCUUUGAACAUCCGUAGAUUGUUCAAUUUUCCUCUGUAGCUGCAGCAGGUUUAAGGAAUGGUUAGUCCCGUAAAGGUACUCCUAAUAUAAGUAUUAACCGUAGGCAUCCGUACAUGUUCAUUUACCUCUGUAGCGAACAAUGGGCCAAAUGAAUGGUUAGUCCCGUAAAGGUACCCCUAAUAUAAGUAAUAACCGUAGGCAUCCGUAGAUGUUCAUCUACCACUGUUGCUAACAGGUGGGUUCCAGAAUGGUUAGUCCCGUCUAGAUAUCCCAUUGAACUGGGAUAGGUAGGACAAUUUACACAUAGAUGUUCAUCUACCACUGUUGCUAACAGGUGGGUUCCAGAAUGAUUAGUCCCGUCUAGAUAUCCCGUUGAACUGGGAUAGGUAGGACAAUUUACACAUAAUGUACUAGUAAAUCAUCCUAGUGAAUUUAGGUACAAGAAUCCAUGUAAGUGCAUACAAAUAAAUGUAUAUAUGUAAAAGUAUUCAUGUAAGCGUAUUGAUGUAGACGUAUUCAAGUAACAUGUAAUGUAUAGUAUAGAAUCAUGAAUGAAAUGACUCUGGUGUGAUUCCUUGUAAUAGGAAUUAUGUUUUUUCUUUCCUAACUAUCCCUAUAGUAGUUAACUGGAAGGUAAUUGAUUGUCCAAACAUGUUUAUACACCCUUGCUACACAAGAGUGUGGGAAACUGAAUGAUGGAUGAAAACUAUAACAUUAAUACAUAUAUAAGAACAUAAGUGUAUAGAUAUAGUUUUGUUCAAGAACGUAAAAUGAUUUUGUAAGACAUCUAAGAGUUUUGAACAAUAAUUAACAAUGACUUGAUGUCAUUUUAAUAAACAUUUCAAACAUAAUACUUUUGCUACCAAGGUAUUUUAAGAUAGAAAACCAUUUCAUGCAUCACAUUUUGAAGUAUGUGAAAUCUGAUGGAUGAAAACACAGUUAUAAAUACAUAUGAGUGAUUCAAUAACAUAGUGUUUUCUACUGGUAUUCCCCCAUUUAAAGCAUUUAAAAUUAUUUAAAAGAUUGAUUAAGGGGUAUGAACUCACUUGUAGUGAGUGGAUUGGAUUGAAGUGUCGGAUACGAUGCUAGGUGACAAAUGGGGAGUUGUACAUGCGCACAAGCCUAGUUAUCAUAUAAUGAACAUAUAUAUAACUAAUUAGCCAAUCUAUAACUAAUAAAUUAAGUUGGGACACUCUAGAACAUGAAAACACUUUGUUUCAAGUGUUAAAGAUCACAAGGGUUGCAUCCAAGUGUUUGUAGGCCAAAGCUAGAGUGUUGGGAGUUCAAGGGUAAACUCGUUUGGAGUUUAUGGUUUUAAUGACCAUUACCCAAGGAGUUUACGACAGUAAACUCAAGGGUUUACGGUCGUAAACUCUACACCUUAUGACCAUAUGUUGUUUUGAGGUUUUACAAGUCCUUCGAAGCAUUUCUACUUGGUAGUUAGGCCUUAGGAAGGGACUAGGGCAACAAAACAAUCCUUUGAGGAGUUUACGGACUCAUGGUCAUUUCCCUUUGGGUUUACUACCUUAAACUCAUGAUUUUAGUACCUUAAACUCAUGAGUUUACUACCUUAAACCCAUAAGUUUGGUAUUUGGGGGUUUUCAAGUCCUUAGCUCAAUCAUGGCAAUAGUCUAGGUUAGAUUUAAGGAAUAACCAUGGGACUUUUAUACACCUUUUGGGGUGUUUACGGUUUUGGGAGAUCCCUAAACCGUAAACACAUAAAAAUGUAAGGUUUUGGUGCUUUUUGUGUGAUAAACUCAUCAAGGAUGAAUCUAGACAAGUCCCUAAGGCAUGGUGAAGCAUCUAGGCACCUUAAGGCACCACUUUGCACCAUAUUUGGUGUAUACGGUUUUGGGAACCUCCCAAAACUGUGAACACCUUGAUCUUGGUGUUCUUGGGACUUUUCUUUGAUGUUAACAUGUAACACAAUCUUAUUAAGAAUCAAGGAUGGAAGUACUUACUAUAAGGAAGCUUAAAAUGAGCUAAAAGUCCAAGAACACUUAGUUUGUGUUCUUGGUGUUUUUGGAAAUCAAAUCAAAACAUAAAAAUGGAUGGAUGAAAAAAAUGUAAAAUCACUAGAUUAAGUGUUAUACCAACUUGAAAUGGCUAGAAAACAUACAAGUUUGAAGAUAUUGAAUUAAAUCUUGGAUGAUACUUGAGAGUGUUUUUAAGUUUACUCUUUUGGUAAUUGGGGAGUAAACAUAAAAUGACUAGUUUGGGGAGUAAACUCAUGCUUAAGGCAUGAGUUUACAUUAUUGGGGGUAGUUUACGGUCCAAACAUAAAAGUUCAGCCGCGAACUUCUAAGCUACGUGGUAUUCACGGUUUAGAAAUUUCGAGACCCGAGACGGCUCAUCCGUUCACCCGUUCGUUUAAAGAUUAAUUAUUAAAAUAAUCAAAUGAACUUAUUUUUCCCAAAAAUAAGUAAAAGUGAACUUGACUUAUAAUAUGAAGUGAUUGACUUUUAGGGUUUGACCGAAUGAAAAUUCCGGGUUGUCACAGUACGUCCGUUUUUUCCGAGUUUACCAUUAAACCAUAAAAACAAUAUGAACAAACAUUAAAAUCAAGAAGAGUAAACUUACAAGGAAGGCUAUGAGAAGAGAAGCAACCAGAGUCGUAUGUGCAGCAACAACUUCUUUUUUUUAUGUAUAUGGGAUAUAAUAUGAAGUGCUUGAAAGAACUAGGAAUUUAAGAGAUAGACUAAGAGAAUCAGAAAGAGAGUGUUUAGAGAGACAUGAGGGAAAUAACAACAAAAUUUUUAAUUCGUAUGAAUAUUCGAUAACUUAUACAAUCGUUUACAAUCCUUUAUAUAGGAAAAGGGUAGCGUAAUAUUUACAAUUAAAAUAUCGACAGACAAAACUUGACAUUACAUAAAGUAGGAAAAGACUACACACCAAAUAAAGUGAAGGCACAUCUGUAAAAGUCGAAAAUAAUAAUUCUAUACGACAACUAUAAUUUCAUAAAUGGCCUUUGAACUUGUUAUGUCUUGUCUUUUUUCACAAAUGGCCCAUAAAUUUGUUCAAACUUAUCACUUUGUAUCCUUUGUUGAAAAAACAUCAUUUUCUAAAAAUCCCGAUGAGUACUAUCAAUAGAAACCGGUGAUCCUAGUUCUGUGUCAACCUGUGCUUCACUAUUCAUGAUAUCUUCUAGUCUCAAUAGUGUAUCUCCUUCGCCGCUGAAUGGCAAAAGCAUAUGCCAGUUUUGAUGAGACCAAAUUUGUAAGUAGUGUCCUUCGGCUAGGAGUUUAUAAUUUUCCCAGCGAAAGCUUGCAGGUAGUAAAGGUGUUUUUUGAGCUGUGCGUAUAUCUUCAUUUGAAAGAUUCUGUAGAGUCCCAAAAUCUAUUUCUUGUUUGCAUGAUAACUUUUUAAGAUAGCCAUGUUGUACUGUUCUUUGGGUGAUGAAGAUCCUUUUUCUAGCAGGCCUGUAUGUAUGUUCAUCUGCUGCUGGAAAAGAAGAAAAAAUUUUCCACCAAAUAAUUGGACUGAUGCUGUGAGAGGCGAUGUUGCCGGCUGUUAAAAUAAAAUUUUCUCCUAAUUUAUUAAGAAGACUUUGUGUGCUGCUAUUGAGGCAAAAUUCUAAGUAAUAUAUCAUUCCAUUGUGAUAAAAAUUUAUUAUCUGUUCUUCUGGCAUAUCUAUAGUCUUUAGGUUUAUCUGUAACAGGAGUAUGGGUGUAUCUUCUCCUUCAUCAUUCAGUCUGUAGUCUUUAGGUUUUUCUGUAUAUUGUUGUUUUUAAUUUCUCGUCUUUUUUCUCAUUCCUUUGCAUAAGUUGUACAUUUUUUUUCUUCAAGAAUUUUUAUUUUUUGUUUCAAAAUAUUGUUUUCAAUCUGGCUUUGUACAUGUUGUGUAUCUUUUCCAGAUUGGAUAAGUUGUUGUAACUUCGCAAUAAUUUCCUCCUGAGCUUUGAUCAUUUGCUCUAGACUAGUUUUUGCUAUUUCUGAAAAUGUUUUCACCUGUUCGGGUUCUAUAAAAAAAACUGUUUAACCCAAAAUGUUCUCGAGCAAUAUUCAUAGCUUAUUGGAAGCUAUGACAUCCCUUGUAAAGGGGAUUUUGACACUGUAUAUGUUUUAUGACUAUUGCCCAAUUAUUAAAAAUCCCAACUUUAGUGCCCCUGAUGACAACAUAAUGUGUAAACUUCUUUAUUUGUUUUUCAGGAGUCAAUGGUGAUUGUUUAUGAAAGUAAAAAAUUAAAGCAUUGAGAAUUUGAACUUUAAAUGAUGAAGCUUGUGGAACUAUCUGAAUAUGCCAUAAGUUGUCUAUCAAACAUUGUUGGUCUUCUGUCAAGUUUACCCCGAUCAUGGGCCUAAACUUUUUACGUUCAUCGAAGCAAAUUGGUAAAGUGCAGUUACCAAAUGCUAUAUCGGCUUCUCUGUUCUGUGUAUAUUGUUUAUUUUUUGAAGAUCCUGUCCAACAAUGUGCAUGUUGAAUGUUUUGAGAUUGUAAUCUAGAUCCUUGCAAAAGGUUAUUAUUAAGUGUAGUACUCGCUAUUUCCAUAUAAGGAAUUGAGUUCUGUUGUGUGGGUUUAUGUAGAUAUUCUGUUUUUAUUGCUGAAUCCAAUAAUUUUUCUGUUGAUGUUGUGUUUCUAUCUUCUUCUGAGGAAAUGCUCAUAGAAGAGGAACUCCUUUUUUGUUGUUUAGGCUGUAUUAAUUUGCUCUUUCGUUUGUUUCGACUAUCCAUCUGCAGAAAAUAAUUUGUUAAUAUUUCUGGAUAGCAUAUUAGCUAUUCUAUUAUUUUCUCCUUUUAUGUGCUCAAAAUUUAUCUUAUAUCCACUUCCUUGUAUUUUAUUUUGUAAAUUAAUCCAUCGUGUCCAAUUUAUUUUCUUACUUUGAUCAUUUUUAAUAAAACGAACUAUAGCUUCACAAUCUGUUCUAACUGUAAAUUCUUUAAGUAAAAAUAUUUUAUAUUUUUCUAAAGCAUUUAUUAAAGCUUGUAUUUCGUAGUCUAUAGAAGUCCAAUUCAUUCCUGUCUUAUUAAAUCUUCCAAUAGCAUAUGAGCAUAUUUUUCUGUAUCUUUUGGGCUAUAUUUAUCGGAUUUACAAAGGAGAACGGCUCCCCAUCAUUCUUUGCAUCCAUCAACUUCUAUUAUUAUGUAAUCAGUAACUAAUGGUAAUUCUAACGAUUUAAUAUUUUUAACUGCUUCUUUAAUUAGUUUAACUAAUUUAAUGUCUUCUUGGUUGAAAUGCCUUUGUCCAUUUUUUGUUGUUUUACUAUAUAAUGGUCCCACUAACUUUGAAAGACUAGGAAUAAACAUUCGCGCAUAAUUAACCAAUCCUAAAAAAGCUUGUAUCUAUUUUAGAUUUUCAAAUUUCUCUAGGAAUUCUAAUUUUUUUUUCGAUAUAUGACUUUGUAAUUCAAUUUUUCCAUUUCCUAUUUCUAAACCAAGAAACGAUAUUUUUCUUUUAAACAAUUCCAUUUUUCUUUUAGAAAUAACAAUACCAUUCCUUUUUAUUUCUUCAAAUAUUUUCUGUAAAUGCUUCUCAUGUUCCUGUACUGUUUCACUGGCAACCAAAAUAUCAUCAAUAUAUACUAAACAAAAAUCAUAUUUCAGAAAGAUAUUGUCCAUAAACCUUUGAAAUAUAGAUGGAGCUUUUUUAAGCCCAAAACUUAAAACAUUCCAUUCAUAUUGUCCUUCAGAACAUGUAAAUGUUGUCCAUGAUUUAAAGUUUUCAUCAAGCUGUAACUGAUUGUAUCCAGAUUUUAAAUCAAACUAGCAAAAAAAAAUUCUUUUGUAUCAAGUUUAUUAAAGAGUCUUUAUUACGGAUGUUGUAACCAUCAUCUUCUGUAUGAUUAUUUAGUCUUUUAUAAUUAUAAACUAUUCGAGCUUUUCCUCUUUUUAUUUCAGAAUGAUUUCUGACUAUAAAAGUUGCUGAUCUAUGUGGGUUUCCGAUUUUCUAAUUAAUCCCUGUUCUGUCAUUUCUGGUAUUUGUUUUUUAAAUUCUUCUUUAUCUAAAGGACUAUAUAUUGUAUGUUUGCUGUUCUUAUUAUAAUAUCAUGAUUUUUUUAAUUUAAAUUUACAAAUACAGUUAACUUUUGAUUUUGUAAUAUCUUCUCCUAUAAGUGUAAUUUUCUCUAAGUGUAAAAUUGUAGGAUGAUUCAUACAUUUUGUUAUAUCUUUUCCUUUUUCUAACUCAUGUGUUAAAAAUUUUGUUAAUAGCUUAAUUAUUUCAUUUUCAAUGUUUGUCUUAAUUUGAUUAUGUUUUAAAAAGUCUAGUUUACCUUGUCCNUUAAGGCUUAGUUUAGCAUCUGGGGAUGUUGUUUUAGUAAGUGUUUGAAUAUGUUACUAAUGAAGCUUCACUCAACUUCAUUAUAUAUAUAUAUAUAUAUGUAUAUAUAUGUUUACUAAGUGUGAUAAAAUUACGUGUUAAUGUCAUAGCCCCAUUUAAGGCAAAAAUAAAAUGUAGUCCGAGAAUAAAAUCAUUAGAUUUUACAUAUUCUGGAUUGAUAUUAACCUGUGGGAUAUCAUAUUUCAUACUAUAGAUACUUGCAAAGUCUAGAAAUUGAAUACCUGUUGGUUCUACGUAAUGUGUGAUAGUUAUUAGUCUGUGUUCGAUUGUUCUUGUCAUUAAUUUAUGUGAUAACUGUUUAUGGUAUGAUUUUGGUGCUAGAUGAUAAGAUUGUUGGCUUUUGAGCAUUCUAACACUCCUAAGUGUACAUGCAACCCUAAAUACCUUGGAUCUAUGUUUUCUCUAUUAUACAUGCAAAUAUGAAUAUUCCAAGGUAUUACCCUAACUAGCAUACAAUCUUUUGAUACUUGAAUAAUAAACUAGAUAGAAAUACAUACCUUGUUGAUGUAGCUUAACUCCAUGAAGCUCGAGAGCCUAGUGCCCCAAGUGUGACACCUCAAAUGGUUCACACAACAUCAUCAACACUUGGAAUAACCAUGAAAAGAAGACACUUCAUGCUCAAAUUGGCUAGCCCUCAUAUAAGUAUCAAUAGUGCCAAUUUCUUGAGCUAAAGGGGUCUUUAUAUAGUGUGGCUAUUAGGGUUACACCAUGUAACUCAUGACUUUACCCAUUCCUUAUGCCCCAUGGGUUUUAACCUCCAUGAAGUAUCCAUGGGUCACCACAUGGGUUAAACCAACAUAAGGAAUCUUGGAUCAUAAGCCCAUACAUAUAAGAAUUGACGAUUUUCACAAUCAAUCCCCAUAUAUUUAAUUAGUCUUUUUUUAUCACUAAAUUAAGUCCAAAUUAAUUUUUGAUCAAUACUAAUUAAAUAACAUGAUUUCAUAUUAAUAUAUUAGAACUUAUAAUAUAUUAAUAUGUCACAAAUGUCCUCUUCUCACAAACGGUCUAUCCAAAUGUUCCGAUGCCAUGCAACCCAAAUGGACCAUGCCGAGUCGGGUCAAGUACAUACCAAUUAUAGUUAUGGACUUAGACACUAAUCCAACAGUCUCCCACUUGGAUAAGUCUAAAACUAUUAUUGAGUAUGACUUCAAAACCUAACUGGCAAUCGUAGCUCUCAAAAGCCGCUGUCGAACUCUGACCUUGUCGAUGAACUCUGACCUUUGUCAAUGACUUGUCCAUUAGAUAAGGGAUCAUAUAUUCCUCCAUUCUAGAUAUCAUAUGGACUGAGACAUGGAUUAAAAUCAUUCUCUCUGUCCAUUUGUUGUUUCCCGAUUUCCGAUUUAUGACGACUGACUAAUUGAACAAAUCAAAUCAGUCCUGGCCCGGCCGAGCACUUCCAUUUGUCAUCAUCAAAUCAUCGAGGGGCCCACAGAUAUCGCUUUUAUCCCGAAGGUAAAAGGAAUGGAUAAACUUCGACUCAUAUGGCUUGUUCUACUACUUGUUGAAUCAUACACAAAGGCACGUUUUAUAACAUCGAGUUACCGAAUGCGUUUUCGUGCAAUCAAUGUACAACCAACUCAUAGUAACAACUCAUAUCUCUAGGUUUGAAGAAUAUAAGAUAUUAUCGUCUCAUGAUCACUCGUGAUAAAAUCCAUGAAGUGAUUCCAAUGAGCGCGGGUUGAAUCCAAUACUCAGAACUUAUGAGCACUCAUGAGUGUUGUAGCACAACUUUGUCCACCAACUUGGACCUCUACAAGCCAACCCAUGACAGUCUUGAUUCAUAUCUACUUCCAACAUAUGACCGACUGUGGAUGGUUUGAAUAACUUAGUCAUUCUGGAAGAAUAACCUAGUUUAUUCUGGAAGUCAAAACAUGCAAAAUGAAACACAAGAAUAAUUGAAUCUAAUAUGGUAUCAAAACCUAUGAACAUAAAUAAAACACCUUUUAUUUAUCACCAUAUGAUUACACAUUAUUCAUUGCAUACUGUUUCAGCUAUCAACUUUAUUCUUGAAUUAAAACAACAGUUGUCCCAUGCUCUGAGCAUGUACACUAUGUUUAUCUAAACAAUAGCUUUGCCAUACACCAAGUAUGCACUCUAUGUUUGUCUAUGAUCCUUACUUUGUGAAAUAAACCAAUUGACCAAACUUUCAAUGAUUCUAAUUUCACACUCCCGAAUUCUUAUGGCAAAUGCAAGAAUUCCAAAUACAUGCCAUUUUACCGAAAUAUGUUAGAUUCUAAACUUAUAUGCAAUGAUUCUCAUGUAAUGAUUAUGCACAAAGUCACAACGACUUGACAACAAACAUUGCAGAGCAUUCCAAAGGAUAUAAACUCCUUGGAAACAUCCUUCUUGCAUUAAGUUUCCUAAUCUUACACAGAUUUAUUGAACAACUUCCACCAAUGGGAUCAUUUCCACAUUCCCCUUUUGACUAUCACUUCUGAACAAGAGUUGCCUCUUUUCAGAAUAUGUCAAUAUGGUCCUUCCAACAAUUAACACUAUACUUCCAACUGUCCCUGAGCAACCAAUCUUUGGUAAACCUUAGAUUGUCCUCGACAAUUGCUUAAUCGUUUUAGUCAUAUCCAGUUCUAGACCUUUUCCCUUCUUAAUGCCCCAGGCAUUUGGAAAAUUUUAGAAAUGAUGAAUAUAGCACAUGUAAUCGAUCCUAUAUCCGAAGCAUAUGGGACACGAUUCAUGAUGUCUCACUCACACCCUAAAACCGAGAACGGCGGAAACGUUCGGGGGCGGAGGACGUCAUGUAAAGUAUCACAACACAGUAAAAGUAAAUAAGCAAACAACAUCAUCCAUUGCAUUAAAUAUAUAAUUUUAAUACAAGCGUGUUCUGAACAAUUAUAGACACCAAAAAUAAUGUAAAUCAAAAUAAUAAGAUGAGUCUUGGAUGCGCUCCAUCUUCUCAAAAGCUGGCCUCGGUACCUGUCUACUGAUGACUUGAGAAUACAAGUUAUUUUGAAAGAGUUUAUCAGCAUUAAGCUGGUGAGUUCAUAAGUAUUUUAGUGUCGGUGUUUGUUAUCAAAACGUUUGAACAUGUCUCAAGUGUAAGUUUGUAAAAUGUAUGUAAAUGUUUGUAAGUGUUUGUAAAAGUUUGAAUCUCUCAGAAAAACCUAUAUUUUCUAUUAAAGUAGCCUUCUACCAAGGCUUAACUGUUUUGUAUGUUCGUUUGUUGUAAAAGUGUGUAAUUUCCCAAGUGUAACUAUCAUUUAACAAAAUAUAGUUUGUACAUUAAUGUUUAAGUGAAAUAAUCACUAAAUAUAUGUAAUGGGUAAAUUAUUGUAGUACUGUAGUGUUGUAUUAUAGGAACUACUGCUGUACUAACUACCUUAAACCGGAUUUAUAUUAAGGUAUCAUGUGAUUAAUUGCACCAUACUAUCGACUGGUAACAACGACAUACGAAUGGUCGUAAUAACGGAAUGACGUUUGGCACCCGCAGACCUGCAGGUCCGGCUGUAGCUAGCAGCAAGGUGUAGGAUAGUCAAUCCAGUAUAGAUCUAUACGCAAACUCACGCUCUCCCUUCAAGAGACUUUGGCUACAACUCGGGCCAUGACAUUUAAGUCAUGCUCCGAUUCAUAUCACAAUAAUGAACGUAUUCUUGUAUAUGUAAUGUAAUGAACUGUUCUAGUAUAGUUGUAUAUGUUCUUUCUCUAGUAUAGUUGUAUAUGUUCUUUGUCUAGUAUAGUUGUAUAUGUUCUCUUUCUAGUAUAGUUGUAUAUGUUCUCUUUCUAGUAUAGUUGUAUAUGUUCUCUUUCUAGUAUAGUUGUAUAUGUACUCAUAGUAAUGUAAUGUAUAUGUUCUCAUAGUAAUAAGUAUUGACUCAUGAAUGAACUGACUCAUUGAUCUAGAAAUUGUAAUAGUAUGAUCUUGUGUUACCCCGAUGGUAACUUACUAAUGAUGUAACUAAUACGCAUGAAUAUGGGAGUACUUUUAUGUCUAUAUAUGUACGCUUGAUAUAUAAUUAAUAUUGAAACGGCCUUCGGACGGCUACCCGAAAUCCCACCAGACCACAUCCAAAUCGAGAAAAAGGAAAUAGGGCGGAUGGCCUUCCUAAGUCCUUUAAAAAUUUCUUAUAUAUCUCUACAUAUUUGGGCAUGCAAUUUAUAAGAAGUAUAAUAAAGUUUAAAUAAAAGUAUUUGAUAAGUAAAAGAGUUUGUAAAGCAGUUUGAAGUAAAACAGUUUGAACAAUAAUAAAAUCAUUGGUUUUAUAGUUAUUAAUCACAUGUGAUUGAUGUAAUAACUAUAAGUAUUUAACUUGUAUUCCACCCAUAAAAGCAUUUAAAACAAUUAAAAGUAUUUCAAAGGUUAAUUAAAGGGGUAUGAACUCACUUGUGGUGAGUGGAUUAGAUUGAAGUGUCGGAUAUUGUGCUAGGUGGCAAACGGAGACUUGUUCACACGCACAAGCCUAGUUAUCAUAUAAUGAGCAUAUAUAUAACUAAUUAGCCAAAUAAUAACUAAUGAAUUAAGUUGGGACACUCUAUAACAUGUAAACACUUUGUAUAAGUGUUAUAAGUCCUAAGGGUUGCUUCUAGGUUGUUGUGGGACAAGGCUAAAGGGGUUUAAAGUUUCCAAGGACCUUGUAUAUGUGUUUACUCUUCAAUAAACUCCACAUAAGGUGUUUACAGUCGUAAACCCAUGAGUUUAUGGUCGUAAGCUCUCAAAUAUGUUGACAUAAUUUGUUUUGAAGUGUUACUUGAUUUCUAGAAUAAGUUCUACUUGGUGGUUUAGUUCUUUGUGUAGUUUAGGGCAUAGAAACACUCCUUUGAGGAGUUUACGGCCCCAAGGCCAAUUCCCUUGGAGUUUAUGGCCGUAAACUCUCAUGGGAUGGGUGUUUUUAUGCUUUCAAGUCCCAAGCACAUGUAGGAUAGUUUCUAGGCAUUUUUUUUAAGCUAAUGAAGGUCCUAGGCACACUUUGGUGCCCUUGAUUGAUGUUCACGGCCCAAGCACAGUUAAUAAGGCCGUAAACUCACAUAGGAAGGUGUCUUUGAUGUUUUAAAGUCCUCAAACUAGUUAGGAUUAAAUAGGGGUUAAAGUCCAAGGCUUUAGGAGUGAUUUAAACCCUCUUUGGCACUUGAUUUUGGAGUUCACGGUCAAAGAACUUCUUGGGUCGUGAACACCCUAAUCUUGGUGUUUUUGAUUGUUUUCUAGUCCUAAAUACACUUACAAAUAAGCCUAAGUCCGUCACUUAUCAUGGGGAAAAGACUAGGUAGCAUUUAAGCCUCAUAUUGGAGUUUACUCUCCUAGAACGUUCUUGGGCGGUAAACUCCCGAAUCUCACAGAUUUGAUAUGUAAACUAAGUUAUUAAACACAUAAUAAGAUUUAUAAGACAACUAGAGAAGUGUACUCACGAUUUGGGGCGAAAACCCGAAGAUCCGUGAGAUAGAAAAUGGCUUUUCUCUAGUUGGAAAUGUGAAUAAUGAAUGAAUUUGGUUUAGAAAUCUAUUUAUAGUCCUGAGACAUUUUUAGCAGAAAAUAUUUUUAUUCCGGAAAUGAACUCAAAUAUUACGAAGUUUUCAAAUACUCGAGUUUCACUAACCCAUGUGCAUCCACUCUCCAGAUAUCUCCUUAAACGUAAACCCUAAUAUACUCAAACUUAUUCGGAAAAGUCUGAAAUUCACUGUAACUGGUCUAGCUUCUAUUGAAUUGAUAAUGUUCGUACAAAAUGGAAAUUUCGGGUUGUCACAUCAUCCCCCCGUUAGAAGGAAUUUCGUCCCGAAAUUAGAAUUUAAGCAAUUAAGAAGUUACAAAUAACUAAGCGAAAAGAUGAGGGUAUUUCAGUUUCAUCUGAUCCUCGUGUUCCCAAGUGAAUUCUGGUCCUCGCUUGGCGUUCCAGCGAACCUUCACGAUCGGGAUACGGAUUUGCUUUGUCUGCUUGACCUCACGACCCAUGAGCUCUACCAGUUCUUCCACGAAGUUGAGGCUCUAGUUUAUCUCGAUCUCGUCGAGUGGGAUUACAAGAGUCUCGUCGGACAGACACUUUUUCAAGUUAGAUACGUGGAAUGUAGAAUGUACGUUACGAAGUGCGUCGGGUAGGUCGAGUUUGUAAGCUACGGGGCCGACUCUUGCGAGAAUCUCGAAAGGCCCUAUGUACCUCGGAUUAAGCUUCCCACGCUUUCCGAAGCGUAUCAAGCCUUUCCAGGGUGAGACUUUGAGAAGGACUCGGUCUCCCACCUGAAAUUCCAAAGGUUUUCUUCGCUUAUCAGCGUAGCUCUUCUGUCGGUCUCUAGAGGCUUUCAAUCGUUCACGGAUCUGAACGAUUUUCUCUGUCGUUUCCCGAAUGAUCUCCGGACCGGUGAGAGUACUGUCAGAAGCUUGCCCCCUAGCUAAUUGGGUAUCACCCACCUCAGCCCAGCACAGAGGGGAUCUGCACUUUCGGCCGUAGAGAGCUUCAAAUGGAGCAGCCUUGAUGCUCGUGUGAUAACUGUUAUUAUAGGAAAACUCGACAAGGGGUAAAUGAGUAUCCCAUGCCUUCCCAAAGUCAAUCACGCAGGCUCGCAACAUAUCUUCUAGAGUUUGGAUGGUCCUCUCACUCUGUCCGUCGGUCUGAGGAUGGUAGGCUGUGCUCAUGUCCAGCCUUGUUCCUAGGGAAUGUUGUAGUGAUUGCCAAAAUCUUGAGGUGAACCUACUAUCUCUAUCGGAGAUAAUGGACAUAGGUACACCAUGUAGCCGUACGAUUUCCCUAAUGUAUGUUCUCGUAAGUUUCUCCAUCUUGUCAGUUUCUUUGAUAGGCAGGAAGUGUGCAGACUUGGUCAAUCUAUCGACGAUGACCCAUAUGGUAUCAAGUCCACCCGUUGUCUUGGGCAACUUGGUUAUGAAAUCCAUAGUGAUCCGCUCCCACUUCCAUUCUGGAAUCUCUGGUUGUUGCAGUAAACCGGAGGGCUUCUGGUACUCGACCUUAACCUUUGCGCAAGUAAGGCAUUUACUUACGAAGGUAGCAAUCUCUGCUUUCAUAUUAGGCCACCAGUAUAGCUUUUUAAGAUCCAGCUACAUCUUAUCUGAACCUGGGUGGACGGAAUAUCGAGUGUUCUGUGCCUCGGUCAUGACCAAGUCUCGGAAACCACUGUGUUUCGGUGUCUAGAUCAGGUUCAUGAAAUAUAAGGCUCCGCCACCAUUGGCUUCUAAAUUCUUAUCCAUUCCUCUAAGGGAUUCACUCGUCACAUUUUCAGGUUUCAUGGCUUCCAGUUGGGCCGCCUGAAUUUUCUUAGACAAGUGUGAAUGGAUGGUUAUUGACAAUGACUUGACCCUGCGACCAGAAUAUUCCUUCCGACUUAGGGCGUCUGCUACUACGUUGGCUUUACCCGGAUGAUAACGAAUAUCGUAUUCGUAGUCACUGAGUAGCUCGAACCACCGUCGUUGUCUCAUGUUGAGCUCCUUCUCAUCGAAUAUGUGUUGUAAACUCUUGUGGUCGGUAAAAAUAGUGCUUUUCGUUCCGUACAAGUAAUGUCUCCAGAUCUUCAUAGCAAACACCACUGCUCCUAGUUCAAGAUCGUGGGUUGUGUAGUUAACUUUGUGUGUCUUCAAUUGUCUCGAGGCGUUGGCGAUGACCUUACCUCGCUGCAUCAGAACAUACCCGAGUCCUUGAUUCGAUGCAUCGCAAUAGACUACGAAGUCUUCUAUUCCUUCGGGGAGGGAUAGUAUUGGUGCGGUGCAUAACGCUCGCUUGAGCGUUUGGAACGCUCUCUCCUGUUUCUCUUCCCAGUCGAAGGCCACGCCUUUCUGCGUCAGUGUUGUAAGAGGUUUCGCAAUUCGGGAAAAGUUCUGUAUGAACCUGCAGUAGUAGCCAGCGAGACCUAGAAACUGCCUAAUUUCUGUAGGCGUCUUUGGUGCUGACCAGUUCUCAAUGGCCUUAAUUUUGGAUGGGUCCACGUGGAUUCCCUCUUCACUUACCACGUGUCCUAAGAAUUCGACUCUUUGGAUCCAAAAUUCACACUUAGAGAACUUCGCAUAGAGCUUCUCCGCUCGUAAAGUUCCUAGAACUUNAUAGUUCGCCCCUUGCAGUUGGUCAAAUAGAUCGUCUAUGCGAGGCAGAGGGUAACGAUUCUUGACCGUCAGUUUGUUGAGUUCUCUGUAGUUGAUACACAUACGGAAUGAUCCGUCUUUCUUCUUAACGAACAAGAUCGGUGCUCCUCAAAGUGAGAAACUUGGUAUUAUAAAUCCUUUGCUGAGCAGUUCGUUAAGUUGACCAGAUAGUUCCUGCAUCUCUGUUGGUGCUAAUCGGUAGGGCGACUUGGCUACUGGGGUAGCUCCUGGGACUAAGUCGAUUCUGAACUCGACCUGUCGUUGCGAAGGUAAUCCUGGUAGCUCUUCUGGGAAAAUGUCGGGGAAGUCGCUCACUACUGGAAUGCUCUUUAGUUCCUUUGUUUCGAGGCUCGUAUCGACGACGUGAGCAAGGAAUGCAUGGUAUUCUUUACGCAGAUACUUCUGUGCUUGAAUACUUGAUAUAAUACGAAGACUCGCACCGGGUUUGUCGCCGUAGACGAUAAGAGUUUCGUUAGACGGAAGGUUUAGACGGACUGCUUUCUCGUAGCACAUGAUGUCGGCGCGAUGAAGACUUAACCAAUCCAUGCCAAUGAUAACGUCGAAGCUUUUUAUUGAUACCGGCAUAAGGUCGAUUAGGAAUGAAUGGUUAUCUAGAGUUAGGGUACAACCUAAGUAUAUGCUAUUCGUAUUUUCAGUUUUUCCAUUUGCCAUUUCUACUGUGAAUUGUUCCUUAAGUGUGUGUGGUUGUUGCUUAAGCAUGCGAGCAAAUUUAUGGUUCACGAAGCUUCGCUCCGCUCCACUAUCGAAUAGAAUGCAUGCGUAGGAGUUAUCGAGGAGGAACAUACCAGUCACCACCGUCGGGUCAGCAACUGCUUCCCCAUGGCCUAUUGCUAGUACCCUCCCUGCUCCUCCAGCAUUCUUCGCUUUGGGGCAGUCCCUCUUAUAGUGGCCUGCUUCACCACAUCCAUAGCAGGUCGGGCUCGCGCCAGAGCCGGGGACUUGGGUGAUCGGCCUCGCCGGGGAUUUACAGAAACGGACGGUGUGUCCUUUCCUGUUGCAGUUAGAGCACUGCAUUUCACGGCAGGGGCCGUUGUGGUGGAAGUUGCAUUUGUUGCACUUAGGCAAACUUCCAGCAUACUGCCUCACCGGAGCAGUAUCAGCAGCAGGGGUUAUCGCGGCAUGUAUAGCCACAACUUGCUGCUUUUUAGCAGCUCGCUGUUUCUUCUUGUCUUCCCAGAACUUCCGCUUAGUGUCAGCGGGUUUGGAGGGUUCCGGGAUGGCUAGGGUGGUUGUUGUUGCAGGGGUUUUGACUCCAUGGUCAAUGAGUCGCUGUGCCAGUCGCUUGGCACUGUCGAAGGUAGCGGGGUUUGAUGAUAGGACAUUCCCCUGAUAUGGAGGCACUAGCCCCCAUAUGUACCUUUCAAUCUUUUUCCCUUCAGUGGGAACCAUAUUGGGGCAGAGGGCCACCAGUUCGCUGAAUCUGGCGGUAUAAGCGACCACGUUGGUGCCCUUCAUGGUCAGGCUCCAAAGCUCCUGCUCCAAUUUCUGGAUUUCGCCCCUCGGGCAGUAUUCCUCAAUCAUGAGGUCGUUCAUGGUUUCCUAGCCCAUAUCAUUCGCCACUACAAGAGUCAGCGCUUUAAAGUGCCCGUUCCACCACGUCAGGGCCUUUCCUUCAAAGGUGCAUGCGGCAUAUUUGACUUUGCUCACAGCAGGGCAUGAACAAAUUUCGAAGAGGGAUUCAGUCUUCUCGAACCAUUGCGAGAGGGCAAUGACUCCGCCGGUGCCAUAGAAGGACUUCGGCUUGCAGUUGGUGAAAUCCUUGUAUGAGCACUGUUACACCGUGAAUUUCAAAAUAAUUUUUCGCAGAAAAUAAAAACGUUUUCAUUUAAUUUUCAUAAAAAUAUCAAUGUUUUAAGACUCCAAUCCAUAUCAUACAAAAAUCCCAAGAUCACAUAUCAUAAAAUCCCAUUCGUGUGUACAGAUCAAGUCGGCGCCUUCCCUCGGUCAUCACUAGUACCUGAAACAAACAACACUAACACUGUAAGCACAAAGCUUAGUGAGUUCCCCAAAAUACCACACAUAACACAUAUUAGCCACUCGAGGCUAUAACUCUGUGGGUCCGUAGACCCUACUCUGUGAACCCACUGGUUCUAACUUUGGGAACCUUCCGGUUCCAACUCUCUAAACAUGCACAGCAUAAAUCACAUAGAAAUAAUGCACUACAACACAUAACAUACAUAUAGCAUACAAAUACUCUGUCACAUAACUCUGAUUACCUACUCAAGGUAAAGUAUAAUGAGAAGACUCACCUCGUGUAUCUCGAUAACUCGCAAAUCCCUGAAAUCACUACUGCUCGAUCUCCAAGCUAAAGUCCUCCUAUAACACAAUACAUCUCUAAUUAACACUUUCCCAACUAAGGUUGACUAACCCUAUCAAGUCAACGUUGGUCAACUCUGGUCAAUGGUCAACGGUCCACUUGACCGGACACGGCGAGUGCACUAGAGCGACUCCGCGAGUCUAUACGUUUUCACUGACUCCUUAGGAUCCUCUUUAGACACGUCGAGUACUUCCCUGACUCGACGGGUUCCACCUAGCAUGAAUCGCGGGGCCACCAUGACUCAACUCGCCGAGUCUCAAGAACAACUCGGCGAGUUCCAGCUCGACUCAGUCCACCUGUCACUCUCUCUAACUCUCCCUGACUCACCGAUUCCACCCUUAACUCGGCAAGACCACUCGCUGAGUGGUUCAGGACAAACUUCAUGCUACUCGUCGAGUCAGUUUUUCGGACUCGGCGCGUCCAUGCCAUGCACUAACUCAAUCUCACUUCUGAGGUCAAAUCCGCUCCAACAACUCAUAGAUCUGUCCCUCCCAAGCACAUUCAUCACGUAAAGUUCAUGUCUUGGCGCUCAUAACACACCCCAUGACUCAUAAAUGGUGUUUUGACCUCAAGCACAAAGACCCCAAUCCAAAACCCCCAUGGAUUCAAAAAAAGCUUGGACAAAGGGACACUCUGGACCUCUAAGGGUCCAGAUCCAAAACCUAACUCGCUUAAGGGACCAAGGAAGCACUAGAUCUAGCCACAAAAGGGCUCAAUAAGCCCUAAAUCAACAUGAACAUCAACAUAACAGAGAAUGGUUCGAAAAUAGUACCUCAAACGUGAUGUUCUGGACCUCAAAUCUUCAGGAAGUUGAUCCUCUUGUUUCCCCUUGGCUAUUGCUUCCUUUCUUGCUGGAUAACACUUCCAAGGUCAAUAAAGGCUCCUUAACUUACUCCAAACGCUCAAGCUCACCAGGGUUUCACUAUGGGGACUGGUGAGCACAAAUGACGGCCAUAAGGCCCUUUAAAUAGGCCCCAAACCCGAGAAAUUAGGGUUUCAUUAAAUAGCACGAACUCGCCGAGUCCCUUCCUUGGACUCACCGAGUCCAGGCGCGAACCCACGUCCAAAUCCGCGAUCAUACUCGGCGUGUCUAGGCUCCAACUCGCCGAGUCUCUUUACAAUUAACAAAAAUAAAUAAAUGAACAAUACCUGGGGAUCCGAGUUGUUACAAUUCUCCCCCAGUAGAACUAGACUUCGCCCUCGAAGUCUCGCUUUGAAAAUAACUCUGGAUGCUGCUCACGCAUCUCACGCUCCGGUUCCCAAGUCAUCUCGGACCCCUUCCGAUGCUGCCACUGAACCAAAACCAGGGGUACCUCCUUGUUCCUCAGAACCUUGAUUUUCCGAUCUCUGAUGGCCACUGGUCUCUCGGCAUAAUUCAGGCUCGCAUCCACCUGAAUAUCCUCUAAUGGAACCACUGCCGACUCAUCGGCUAUACACUUCCUCAGCUGCGACACAUGAAAAGUGUCGUGAAUCUGCCCCAACUCUGCUGGCAAAUCCAAACGAUAGGCUACCCGGCCUACCCUCGCGAUCACUCGGAAAGGACCAAUAUAUCGGGGCCCCAACUUGCCCCUCUUCCUGAAUCGCAUCACUCCUUUCCAAGGAGAGACCUUCAGGAGUACAAGGUCGCCGACCUGAAACUCAAGCUCAGACCGGCGUCUGUCUGCAUAACUCUUCUGUCGGCUCUGGGCGAUCAACAACCUCUGUCUGACCUGCUGAAUAUGCUAUGUCGUCUGAAGCAC
This 25809-nucleotide long non-coding RNA is filed under the name Lactuca sativa (garden lettuce). RNAcentral's name for it is "long non-coding RNA (LSAT_LNC000948)". The record is from RNAcentral. Lineage: Eukaryota; Viridiplantae; Streptophyta; Magnoliopsida; Asterales; Asteraceae.